Molecule: ribosomal RNA, 878 nt
Filed under: Enterococcus faecium
Lineage: Bacteria; Bacillati; Bacillota; Bacilli; Lactobacillales; Enterococcaceae
Description: bacterial SSU rRNA
Rfam family: Bacterial small subunit ribosomal RNA
Source: RNAcentral
AACGCUUCUUUUUCCACCGGAGCUUGCUCCACCGGAAAAAGAGGAGUGGCGAACGGGUGAGUAACACGUGGGUAACCUGCCCAUCAGAAGGGGAUAACACUUGGAAACAGGUGCUAAUACCGUAUAACAAUCAAAACCGCAUGGUUUUGAUUUGAAAGGCGCUUUCGGGUGUCGCUGAUGGAUGGACCCGCGGUGCAUUAGCUAGUUGGUGAGGUAACGGCUCACCAAGGCCACGAUGCAUAGCCGACCUGAGAGGGUGAUCGGCCACAUUGGGACUGAGACACGGCCCAAACUCCUACGGGAGGCAGCAGUAGGGAAUCUUCGGCAAUGGACGAAAGUCUGACCGAGCAACGCCGCGUGAGUGAAGAAGGUUUUCGGAUCGUAAAACUCUGUUGUUAGAGAAGAACAAGGAUGAGAGUAACUGUUCAUCCCUUGACGGUAUCUAACCAGAAAGCCACGGCUAACUACGUGCCAGCAGCCGCGGUAAUACGUAGGUGGCAAGCGUUGUCCGGAUUUAUUGGGCGUAAAGCGAGCGCAGGCGGUUUCUUAAGUCUGAUGUGAAAGCCCCCGGCUCAACCGGGGAGGGUCAUUGGAAACUGGGAGACUUGAGUGCAGAAGAGGAGAGUGGAAUUCCAUGUGUAGCGGUGAAAUGCGUAGAUAUAUGGAGGAACACCAGUGGCGAAGGCGGCUCUCUGGUCUGUAACUGACGCUGAGGCUCGAAAGCGUGGGGAGCAAACAGGAUUAGAUACCCUGGUAGUCCACGCCGUAAACGAUGAGUGCUAAGUGUUGGAGGGUUUCCGCCCUUCAGUGCUGCAGCUAACGCAUUAAGCACUCCGCCUGGGGAGUACGACCGCAAGGUUGAAACUCAAAGGAAUUGA